CAGGACGCACUGAUUGCAUUUUUAGCAGCAAGUCCGCUGGAGGUUGCGCAAGACCUCUCCGGCCAGACCCCUGGGGCGGGCUCAGCAGUCCUCCUCCACGCUCAAGAUGCAGUUUGAUGUAUCCGUAGAGGACGCAGUUUCAAGUUUCUCCAGAUAGAGAAGCGAAAGAGGAUCCGAAACCGCGCUUCACGUCGCUCUGGCAGAAAGCAGAAGCGCGGGGUUGAGGGCGCAGACCUGGGCAGAGGAGAGGCGCGCAGGGUCACGCAUGCUCCACUGAGCCGUGGGAAGUGUCCACAGCCAGCCAUGGGAGCCCUGUGGGUUCUGAAGCUGACAUUUCUGCUUUAGGUGCCUUAAGCUGAAGAAAUGCAUAGUAGAAGGAAUUGGAGUGCAGGUGGACCUCCCUUUCUCUCCCGGCCACCGGAGGAUGUGCACGGCCCCGUGGAAGUGAGCUCCCCUAAUAAAAGCCUGGACUCAUCACACUGGCGCUUCGUGCUUCUCUCCUUGGAAUCCCAGCGGGCCCCCUUCAGGAUGAUUCAGGAAGCUGGAUUUUCUUCAAUCAAAACAAUAUAUUGCGGGGCACAGUGGCUCACACUUGUAAUCCCAGCAGUUUGGGAGGCUGAGGCGGGCGGAUCACCUGAGAUCAGGAGUUCAAGACCAGAGUGGCCAACAUGGAACUCAUAGGAGCCCUAGGGAAGGCCACAUCCCGGACCCCUAAACCCAGAGAGACAGAACGCAGACCUGGGCGGCAAGGACUCAAUGAACCCAAGUGACCUCUCCUCAUGAGCCUGCUACAGUCUCCACUUGGGAGAAGCGACGGCUUCAUCACCAUUGCAUGCGGCCCAGGUGCUGGCGUGAUGGCUCACUGCAUCUACGCCACUGGGGCCCCGCCUCUACGCACAACCACACACCCUCUCCCCUCUCCUCGCCCGAUAAAACCCUCCUGUCACUGUCCCUGGAAGAGACACUGCUUUAGAGAAUUCUCCCAGUGUCCUUACUCACGCUAAGUAAUAAAAUGCCUAUUGUUCAAAACAAACCCUGGGUUUUUUCUUGCAGGUAACAAACCCAAACUAAGGUGCUCAGGAACA
This is a long non-coding RNA of Piliocolobus tephrosceles (Ugandan red Colobus), 1085 nucleotides long. RefSeq lists it as uncharacterized. NCBI's taxonomy places the organism in Eukaryota, Metazoa, Chordata, Mammalia, Primates, Cercopithecidae. The transcript has 7 exons. The record is from RefSeq and is a predicted model, not a curated record.